UGGCGAACGGGUGAGUAACACGUGGGUGAUCUGCCCUGCACUCUGGGAUAAGCCUGGGAAACUGGGUCUAAUACCGGAUAGAACCAUGCUUUAGUGUGUGUGGUUGAAAGUUUUUUCGGUGUAGGAUGAGCCCGCGGCCUAUCAGCUUGUUGGUGGGGUAAUGGCCUACCAAGGCGGCGACGGGUAGCCGGACUGAGAGGUUGGUCGGCCACAUUGGGACUGAGAUACGGCCCAG
This 235-nucleotide ribosomal RNA is filed under the name uncultured Actinomycetales bacterium. RNAcentral's name for it is "partial 16S ribosomal RNA". It matches the Rfam family "Bacterial small subunit ribosomal RNA", at positions 96 to 334 of the family's 1533-position model. The record is from RNAcentral. Lineage: Bacteria; Bacillati; Actinomycetota; Actinomycetes; Actinomycetales.